Molecule: long non-coding RNA, 10747 nt
Filed under: Olea europaea subsp. europaea
Lineage: Eukaryota; Viridiplantae; Streptophyta; Magnoliopsida; Lamiales; Oleaceae
Source: RNAcentral
AAAGUGGUGGGUACAGUUCGUUUCUCGCUUCUCCCCAUAAAUCCUUCUCUCAAAUCUACAUAAUAGCGUAGAAAUCUACAAGAUUGGUGUGAUCUACCUCCGGCACCUUGCACAGCGAUCGAGAUUCUGCAAUAAGGUAUCGGUUUAGUUUCCUUCUCGAAAUUUCAUGAAAUUUCCGCUUUUUGACUUCGUAGUUAUGGUUCUUGUUUUCAAUUUAUUUUAAUGCACGAUCUUCAUAUCAAUAAAGACUCAUCUUUAUCUAUUCUCUAUGCAGUAGGGCUUAAUUAGAUUUCCAAUGAAAAUUUUGUGGUCAAAUUGAAUAUUUCCCUCACAAUUGAGCAGGGGAUCCGAAGUGAAAAGUGAAAACUACUCAUAGAAGAAAAGUGAUAGUCAAUGGCAAGCACCGCGUGUUUCAUGAUUGUCAGCAAAAGUGAUAUUCCGAUUUACGAAGCUGAAGUCGGCAUUGUCCCCAAAGUAUGCCUCAUUCAAAAUAUGUUUUCUUUGACACUUCGUAUGAUCGCUUUUUAAUAAAUUCUUUGAUCAUACAUUUAAGAAGGAGGAUGCAGCGCAUCAGCAUCAGUUUAUAUUACAUGCUGCGUUGGAUAUUGUCCAAGACCUCGCGUGGACUACGAGUGCUAUGUUUGUAUUCAACCUUAGUUAACUCUAUGCAUCUGAUCAUCUGGUGUUAGUCGGUUUAAUGAUAGCCAUUAGUUUUGUAAGUGUUCAUUACUGUUUACCAUCAUUUUGUGAACCAGGUUUUUGAAAGCAAUUGACAGAUUCAAUGAUUUGGUGGUUUCUGUCUAUGUGACUGCAGGACAUAUCCUUUAUUUGUUCUUUUCUAAUUUAAUGUAUUACUAUUUUUAAUUUUUUUUUUCCCUUCCCGAAAUCAAAGAAGGAAACACUAAGUAUUGAAGGAACACGUGGCUAUGUGCUUCUAUGUUUCCAUUUUAUGCGCAAGUGCAGUUAGCUGCACUCUCACAAAUUUGUUUUGCUUUUUUCCACUUAAUACUUUAUUCAGUAGCUUACUUUUUCUAUUAACUUAAAAAAAUACGGAAAUGGAGUUAUUUUUUUUUUGCCUGAGCCCCCUUAUGAUGUUUUGAUUCUUGUGUUUCUUCUGGAUUGAUAUAUACAUUAUAAAAUUUAUAUUUGAAUGACAAUAAGUUUUGGAAAUGGAUUUGGUAUCAUUAUUUUCAAACUUGAGAAAGGCUAGUCAAAAAAUAAAGUUCCAUUCACCGUAAAGUAUUUUCUAAGUUUUAGUGGAUUCGAGUUAAGUCCAAACAGGUCCUUAAAGUUGUGAGAGCAUUUCCUAUAUGAUUAGAUUCUUGAAGAUGUUUGAGUUUUGGUUUAUCAAGCCACUGUGCUCUAUUCCUGAAAGAAUUGACUUAUUUAGUCUUAUGGUCAUUUUUCUUCUUGUGAUCAUUACUGAAUUUUUUGUCCGGGCUGUAAAGUUGAGGUUGAAAGACAUUUCUGAUUCUAAAUCUAGGCAUGAGCUAUACUCAAUUUCAUUUUUAGGCCCCUCUCUGUUUUAUGCAUAUCUGUAGAUUCUUCCUCUAAAGCGUGCUCGAUUAUUAAGAUGCUUGUAAUUUUAGCUUUUAACAGCUCAAGCAAUCAUGUUGAUACUUCAUCUGAUCUUUCUUUAGCCCAAGUUCAAGUUUAUUCUUUUGGUGAAUGGAGGAUGGGCUAUGUUUCAUAGUUAUCGUGUUACCAAAAGUUGAGUUGCAUCAUCUUCUUCUUCUUCAUCUUCUUUUUUAAUUACAUCUGUCUUUUCUGGUUCCAUCUUUUAUAUUAUUUGGUUUACCUAAAUGCUGAGAUGAGCAUUUUGAAUUCAGUUUCAUGCUUGCCAACUUCUCUGCCAAAGUGUGGAUUCUUUGAAUUUAUACUUUCCCUUCAUAUAAAUUGUUUCGUAGAAGUUUUUAAUAAUAUUGUAAUUUAUCAGGAUCCAUUGAUUUAUGAUUUUUUUCUUUAACCUAAAUCAUACAUACACGUUUGAUGCUGCUUCAUGAUUCUCGUAACGAUGAUGGAAUUAAGAGCUUCUUCCAAGAGGUCCAUGAGCUAUAUAUAAAGGUAAUCUUGUGAAGGGGCUUUCUUUAUAUGAUUACAUUACAUCGAUGCAAGACAUGCCUAAACCACCUGCAUCUUUCUUUUACUUUCUUUUUAUUAAUUCACCUCAAAUUGUUACUGUAUAUUCUCAUUUCUCUAUUUGUUCAUUCUAGGAUGAUUAAACGAUCAUAUGAAGAUCAACAUUUCCUUUAUAUUCAUCUCACGUAUAUCUUUUCCUUUGAGUCCAACAUUAAUUGCUGUAACUUGUAGUGUGUGUAUUAAUCAAUUAUAGAGAUCUUAUCACAGAAAAUCCCUAUAGCACUAUCAUAUGUCUUACAUCCUCUCCAAUUCCUCUUUCCUUGUCACAGCAUGAUCCUCUAACAUGACUCUAAUAUCAUCUUUAUUCCUACUAUUACAGAACGGACAAUCCAUUUACUCUCUUAGUUUUUACUCAAAAUAAGACCUUUUGUUCUAAAGUACUCCAAAGUUCUAGCUUAGAUUUAAUGCCUUUGUGGUCUCAUGCUAGAACUAUAAACUACACCAAGGAACCUCAACUCUGGUAAGCUUAUCUAUUGUUAAUGCAAAUGAUAAUAAGGAACUGAAGGUAAAAUCUUGAUGCAAGCUAGACCUGAUGGAAAUUCUAUACUGUAAGCGCCACUAAAAUUGACUACUCAUACGCAUUGCUAUAUCAGAAUUGAUACUCUAAACGAAAAUUCUAAUCUCUUUAGCACACAAAUUAUAUAUAAAUCUCUCUUCUUUUCCCUAUACUUUAUGGCUAUCAUUGUUGAACCAUGGUUGAUUAUAAUCGUAAAGUUUUGAUUAUAACAAACAAGCUAAUCUCGUUGGCUAACAAGUUGAAUUCAAUCAAUCAAAUGUUUUUAAAGUGAAUGUUUGAAGAAUUAAAUAAGAUGUAAGCUAAAAGAGUUUUGCUCAAAUAUUUUUCAAUUUUAAUGAUUUAUAAGAAUGCUGUAAUGAAUGCAAGAAGUGGUAUUUAUUGAGUUUAAAAUGUCAAAAUAUUUGUAAGCGUGGAUGACUCAUUUGGUCGAUUGCCUCUUAUUUAGAAAAUCAAUAGAGCCGUUUUUACUGUAAAAAUUAGAUGUCAAAAUGGUCAAAAUUUGGACUAUUGGAAUUUUCCGAUCGACCACUACCUUUGGCUGGUCGACCUCCCCUUCUGGCCGGUUGAUCGCCGACAGUUUUCGGUCUUUUUACGUUUUCCUCUCAUUUGACCUGAUUUGAAUGUUUUGAAAACCAUGGAUUUUUGGAAGGUAUUUUUAACUAACUUUUUAUGAUAAAAGAUAUUUUUCAAUUUUAAAUUUUUUUUUGAAAGUCAUUUUUAUAUUUUAUCAAAAUGUUGUAUUCUAAUUAUUUUUAGUGCACAAAAAAAUUGUUUUUAAUGCAUAAAAUGAUUUUAAGUUUCAACAUUCAUUGCAAAAUAUCAAAGUGUUAGUACCUUUUACAUUUUAUCUAAGAAAUCAAGUUUUUGAUUUUUCUCCGGAGUCUGGCUCUUAAAUUCUUAAAUGUGUGACUUUGAUCUUAACCUCUUUCUUGAGUCCGAUUUGUGAUGAUAGUUUUUGAACUUUUGAUGACAAUCGAUCAAUUUUUAUCAUAUGCUUUGAAAAAUUAUAAUUACUUGAAUUCAAUUUGUUAGCAAAUGACAUUAGUUUGUUUGUUAUGAUCAAAACUUUAAUGUUAUAAUCAACCAUACAUCAACAAUUUUUCCAUUUUUGAUUAUGACAAAGAAAAUGAUUUGCAAAGUAAUGUUGAACAAUUGAUAAGAAAUAUAAAUCUUAAAUUUUACAUGUAAUCCAUAUAUUUCCCUUAUAUUUUACAAACCAAUAGCCACUCACUUUAAAGCAUGUGUAUUAAGCAUAUCAUCAAGCAUAUCGACUCUUAUAUUUUAUCCAGCAUAUCAUCUCAUUCAUUUUUCCCCUUUUGUCAUAAAUAAAAAGAUAUAACAUUUAAGAUCAAAACAUACCAUUAUUCUUCAAUUUCCAACAAUUGUGAUUGGUCACAUGAAAUCAUCCAUACCUCCACUCGUAUUAAGGUCUUACCCUUUGGCAUCCUACUUAAUUGUUGGAAAUUGAAGAAUAAUUUUCGUCCGACUAAGGAGUCAAGAGGGAAUAAGUCGAAAUGAGUAACUUCAUCAGGUUGACCUUUCCUAAGGAGAAUAACGUGGGCAAUGAUAAUGUGCAAAACUUUACAAGGUAAAGUGAGUUGGUUUGAGCUAAGCUUUAUCCGAUGUUCAAAAUUUCCUCGUCACUCUACAACAUGCAAUGAUAGGAUUAUAAUCUUCAAAGGUCGGGUGAGCCAUAUGACAAAAAAUUUGAUUCUCAAAUUCUUCAAGCUCAAGGAGAGAACAUAAAAGAGCUUUGGUAAUUAUAGUUAUUUUCCUUUGAGAAAAUAGGAAAUGUUACCCAUACAAGGAGUAUAAACCAUAUUUUUGUAGAAUUAUUUCUUAAGCUUAGUAUAUGCAUUUUCUUCCAUAGAUACAAUAGAGACCUAACCCAUGUUUAUAAAGAAUUCCUGUAUCUGAAAUGUAGGUGCUUGGAGAGUAAAAUUUGCUAAAGUUACGGUCUUACCAAUAAGGAUAGGUAAUUUAUCAAAAUGAUUUUUCGGCUCCUCGAGUUUAUCUUUGAAUGAAGGAGUUGGUAACCUCUUCUUUCUUGCUUUCUUCUAUGUCAUUUUGGUCCUUGGUAUGAUGAUAGAAUAGUGGAAGAAAAAUUUAGAAGGCGUUAAUUGUCAAAAUGAGAGAAAAGAAGGUGGUAGUGGAAGAAAAGGGGGGUUUAAGUAUUUUGAAGAGAAGAAGUAAUGGAUUUUUGAUAUCUUGGUGAGAUAUUGAAGAAUAAUGGUAGAUUUAGUGAGUUUGAAAGUAGAUCUAUGGAGAAGAUGAAGAAAAGUGAGAGAAAUGGAAGAGAAAUGAGGGUUGGAGGUUUUUUAAAACUCGAAAAUCGAAAACAACUGAUUGACCGGUUGAACUAUUCGGUCUACCAGACCUUAUUUCCCAAAAUUUCCACUUUUUUGGUCUAUUGAAACCCCUUUUUGUUAAAAUCAUCUAUAAAUAUCAAAAGUUAAUCAUGUAAAAACAUUAUGAAUUUAACACAACCAUGUACUAUGAAUUCAUCAAUAAUGCCUAAACUUCUUCGAAUAAGCGAGAAUUGAUCAAGUGCUAAAAGUUCAGUAAAAAUGUCAGCCAAUUGAUUUUUCAUGUUUACAAAUAGAUCAAGCACAAAAAUCAAUUGGCUGACAUUUUUGGGAAAAAGGGUCCGGUUGAUCGAACAGUUUAGCCAGAUUGUUCACAAUUUUUCGGGUUUUAAAAAACCUCCAACCUUAAUUUCUCUGACUUUUCUUCAUCCUUUUCAUAGAUUCACUUCCAAACUCAUUAAAUCCACCAUUAUUCUUCAAGAUCUCAACAAUAUAUCAAAAACCCAUUACUUUUUCUCUUCAAAACACUUAAAAACUCCAUUUUUCUUCCACUACCAACUUCUUUUCUCAUUUUGACGGUUAACGGCCUUCUAAACUUUUCUUCCAUUUCUCUAUCAUCAUGCCAAAGGUCGAAAUGCCAGGGAAGAAACCAAGGAGGGAGAGGUUACCUACUCCUUCAUUCGUAGAUGAACUCGAGGAGCCGGAAAAUCAUUUUGAUAAAUCACCCAUCCUUAUUGGUAAGACCGUAGAUUUUGUGGAUCUUACUCUUCAAGCGCACUUCAUGUGGAGGGAUUCUUUAUAAGCAUAGGUUAGAUCUCUAUUGCAUCUAUGGAAGAAAAUGCAUAUCCUAAACUUAUGAAAGACUUUUACAAAAAUAUGGUUUAUACUCCCCAUACGAGUAGUAUUUCUUAUUUUCUUAAUGAAAAAAAAAUUAUAAUUACCAAAGCCCUUUUACAUUCUCUCAUUGAGCUCGAAGAAUGAGAAUCAAAUUUUUUGUCACAUAGCUCAUCGACAUUUGAAGGUUAUAAUCCUAUCAUUGCGUAUCGUAGAGUGACCAAGAAAAAUUUUAAACAUUUGAUAAAGCUUAACUCAAACCAACUGGCUUUACCUUGUAAAGUUUUGCAUAUUUAUCAUUGCCUACGUUAUUCUUCUUAGGAAAAGUCACUUUGAUGAAGUUACUCAUUUCGACUUAUUCCUUGUUGACUCCUUUAAGUCGAGCGAAAAUUAGAUUUUUCAACAAUUGUGAUUAGUCACAUGAAAAUCAUCAAUUCUACCACUCGUAUAAUGGUAUUACCCCUUGGCAUGAUACCUAUUAAAAUUUUAACAUUUUGAAAUUUCUUUAAAUGGCGAGGUCUUCAUUUCACUCCAUCCCACCAACAUCAUCAGCACUCAUAUACUCUUAAACGAAUUAAGACUGUCAAGGAACAUAGGCAAUGGGUAGCCCGUACUAAGAGAUUUGGUUCGGACUCAAACCCUUCGACUUUACCCUUCGAAGGAGAUGAAGAGGAGGAUGAUCAUGACGACGAUGUACCGUUAGUUCCUAGUCCUCUGCAUGACAUCUCAGGUUCAAGUGCUCCUCCAUCUUCCGAUGGUUUUACUUUUAUCGAGGAUCACUGCAAUCUCCUUAAUGGGCGAAUUAACUCUCAUACAUCAUCCGUCGACGAGGCUGGAGGGAUGCUUUAUCGAUUGCAAGUUUAACACGAUGUAAUACAAGCUCAACAGGUGGCGAUACAAACUUAGCAAAAUGCCUUCUAUGCUUACGACAAUGUUCAACAAGAAGCAAUGUAGGCUCAACGAAAAUGUUUUUAUGCUCUGUUCGAUGUCCUUUUCCCACCAUCGCCUUCUCUGAAGUCUUAGAUAUGACUUUAUGCAUAUAUAUUUUAGUCAUUAUUUUGAUCUAACCUCUUUGUAUCUUUAUCUUUCUUAGACUCAUGCUUUGACUUGCUUAUAUAUGCACUAUCUAAGAUUUUGAACGUUUUGAUUAGGUUUCAUGUGUUAAAUUAAGGGAGAAUUUUGUAUUGUUUCCUAUGGUUGUGUUCUGUAUUAAAUAUUAUAUCUUUUUACUUAUAACAAUAUGGGGAAAAAUAUGUGAGAUGAUAUGCUUUAUACACACAUUAAAGUAAAUGGCUAUUGGCUCUUAAAAUAUAGGGAGAAUAUAUGGAUUACAUGCAAAAUUUAAGAUUUAUAUUCCUUAUCAAUUAUUCAAUAUUAUUUUGUAAAUCAUCUUAUUUGUCAUAAUAAAAAAGUGGAAAAUUGUUGACCUAUAAUUGAUUAUAAACUUAAGGUUUUGAUUAUAACAAAUAAGCUAAUCUUGUUUGCUAACAAGUUGAAUUUAAGUUAUUAUAGUUUUUCAAAGUAUAUGAUGAAAAAUCGAUCAAUGGUCAUCAAAAGUUAUCAUCACAAAUUGGAUCAAGGAGGAGGUCAAGAUCAUAGUCACACAUUUAAAAAUCUAAGAGCUAAACUUCGGACUUGAUUUCUUAAAUAAAAUGUAAAAGUACUAACACUUGAUAUUUGACAAUGAAUAUUAAAGCUUAAAAUCCUUUUACGCAUUAAAAAUAAUUUUUUUGUGCAUUAAAAGUCAUUCAAAUGCAAAAUUUUGAUCAAAUAUAAAAAUGACUUUUAAAAAGAUAUUUAAACUUGAAAGAUAUCUUUUAUAUUGAAAAGUUAGAUAAAAAUGCUUUUCAAAAGUUUAUGCCUUUCAAAAUCUUCAAGUUGGGUUAAACGGGGGCAAAAUGUAAAAAAAUCGAAAACUGCCAGCAGUCGACCGGAGGCGAUCGACCAGGGCCAAAGGUGGCAGUCGACCGGGAAAUUUCAAUAGUCCAAAAUUUGACCGUUUUGACCUCUGAUUUUUACUGUACAAAUGGCUAUAUUGAUCAUUCGGAUAAGAGGCGAUUGACCAAAUGAGUCAUUCGCACUUACAAUUUUUUUGAUGUUUUAAACUCUAUAAAUACCCCCCGCUUCUUGCAUUGAUUACAGGAUUUAAAAGUGAGAACUAUUUGAGCAAAAUUCUUUGAGCUUACAUCUUAUUUAAUUCUUUAAACACUAACUAUGAAAACUUUUGAUGGAUUAAAUCAACUUUUGAAAAUCAUCUUUUUCAUCAAAGUUUGUUUACCUAAUACUUGAACUUCAUUCAUUGUUCUUUAUUAAAGUGUUAGCUCUUUUUCUCUUUUGUACUUAAUUUUGAUUGUAUCAUUUAUUGUGAGGUCAAAUUGUAAACUCAUUACUCUUUGGAUUUGUGGGUCAUAUAAGUGUCUCGUAAAGCUCUAUACUGUUUAAGGAUCAGUGCUCCUUGAUGGUAAGUCACCGAAAGCGUUGUAACGGGUUGGGUUGUACCAUAAGUCAAUCAAUAUGGUGAAAAAGGGCUUGCUUGUGCCGGAGAGUUUGGUAAAGGGAGACGAAGAUCAUUAUUUUGGAUUGAACCUUUGUAAUUAUAUCGUUUGCAUCCUCUGUACGUUUUUGCUUAUCAUUAUGUUAUUUAUAUUUAUUAUUUGAUUAAUCUACUUGUCUUUACUUGCUUAUGAUUAUUAAUUGAUCGAUAUAUUCUUUACUUACUUGAUUUAAGUGUCUUUUUCAAAAAAGUUUAAAAAACCAAUUCACCUCCCACUUGGUUAGCUAUUCUUGGGUUAUCAAUUCUAAAUAGGUACAUAGCUUCCAUUUUAGGUCUCCUUGGAAUUGGUUUUUGAGUCCUUUGAAUUACACCUUAAUCUAUGCUCUAUCACUGUCUCCAAUUAUCACAUAGUAUGGUAUGAGUUUAAUACCUUCAUAAAUUGUGAGAUUUUAAACUUUGUUCUUUUUUUGCUCAUUUCUUAAUAACUAAAUCAACACCAGCCUAUGUGCAUAGUUAAACUGUCACCUGGAUAUUACAUUGCAAUCCUUUCCCAAAGACCUAUCCACCUUCCUACCAACAGAAUUUUAUUUGACUAAAGUUUCUGUCCUCUCCAAAAGCUAUAAGGUGAAAGUUUCUGAUCUUGAAGUGCGUAUGUGCUAACACCAAAUCAUAAAUCAACUGAAGUCCAAAAUAGUAUUACCUUCUUCAUUUCAAUAUUCCAAAUCUUUCACAUUCUUUCAUAUCUGAAGUUAACUUUCCCAGCAUCAUGACUGAAAUCCCCUCGAGGGAAUUAACGAAUAGAGCCGUUCCAAAUCAUUCCUUUUUGCCUUAGGCCUUUGACCUAAAAAUACUACUGUUUCGUCCAAAAUAUCCUUAAAUUCAAAACAUGUUCAUCUUUGAAAUUUGGGCAGCAUUUGAAAUUCAAAAUCGAACUUAACACACACCAAACUUCUCUUCUCCUCUUCUUUCCUCUGUGCUUUAGCCAGAAAAUGAAGGGUCCGAUGGUAAUUCUCUGGAGGAGUGUUUUUGCUAUUUUAUAUUUCUGUUUCUGGAGAAUAACAGAUGGGAUGGUGGGCCAUAAUGGUGGUGGGUUGGGUGGUUUCAUGCAGUUUUUGGAGGUGGUUUGCUCUUCUUCUUGAAAGUUUAUGUGGGUUUUGAAAAAUGUUGCCAUGAACACACUGAACCGGCAACGGAGGAAGAGAAAGUGAGCUUGAAACUGACUAUGGUCGUUUAAAUGACCAUCAGCCAUUUAAAGGGUAUUUAAGACUUUUAAAGAGAAUAGAGUCCUUUUACACUGAAAACAUGAAACUGAGGUUGGUAGUCACUUUUACCUGCACAAAUUGCCCAUUUGUCGAGCAUGUAUGCUAAAUGAAACUGUCCAAUUCUUUUAUUAAAAGAAGUCCAAUAUAUAUAAUUGGAUCCUUUGACCCCUUUGAACUUCUGCAGCCUGUUUAUUAAACCUUGUUCAUUGAUUGCUCCACUGCACUUCUUUAACCUCCUCAUAAUUUUGUAAUUAACCGUUGUAUUGUUUUUGUAUUUCUUAUAUAGCGUGAAGUUCCUGCAGUUUCUUAAUUUGUGAUGGUUUUCUAAUCAUCAAUUUAUGAUCAAAAUUUGAUUGCAGACUCUUCUCAAUCCUCUUUAUCUACCUGGAAGCCGCAUUACAUCCUCGCAUUUUGACACAAAAGUUCGUACUCUUGCCAGAAAAUAUUUGUGAAGCAGUCAUUUGAUUUGAUGGUGUUGGGAGCUUUUCUGCCUAUGUGCUAUGUUAUUGGGGGCAUAUUGUUUCAGUAGAAAGUAACCUUUCCAUGCUUGUCAAGAGGGAUUUAUCUAUUUUUGAUAUAUUUUAUUGACUAUUUGUAGCUUAGAUCUUUUAAAGCUUCAUUUGGUUACUUUUCUUCAUUUUAACCUCUUUUUAUCUCGGUUCAAGAGUACUUGUUCAAAAACUUUCACGUAGUUACAUUUUUUUUUUUAGCAAAUGCAUACAGGACAAUUCUUUUCUUGUGCCCUUCCAAUUCUCACAAGAUCUGAUUGAACUGCAUGCUACCUCAUGCCAACGGGGGUUUGAUACUUCUAAAACUUGGUUUGAAGAAAGUGGUCGAAUUUCCUAGUGUCAUAAAUAUCAUAUAGGAUGAAUAAUUUUUUUCCUUUCCUCAAUAGUUCUGAAUUCUCAAUGAUCUCAAAUGUCAUGUCUGGUUGUAUUUGUCACCUAUCUUUUCGUGUGUUGAUCCUGGAGGGAUUGGGGAACUUUAAACACAUUAUCAAUGAGAUAAUGUUCUUUACUGGAGUAUUGUUUUUCGUAUAAUAUAUAUCAAGAUUUGGCACCUCUGUUGGGAACAUGUGACUUACAUGGUCCCUGCAACUUCAUUCUUCACUUGCCUCAAUCACAAGGAGCCUGCUGACAAGUAAGCUUGUGUAUAUAGUCAAUGUACCUGAAUGAUUUUAUAGAUCAAGUGGGAG